CUACGGGGGGCUGCAGUGGGGAAUAUUGGACAAUGGGGGAAACCCUGAUCCAGCAAUGCCGCGUGUGUGAAGAAGGCCUGCGGGUUGUAAAGCACUUUUGGUUGGGAGGACUGCUUCUAGCACUAAUAUUGUUGGAAGUUGACGUUACCUUCAGAAGAAGCACCGGCUAACUCCGUGCCAGCAGCCGCGGUAAUACGGAGGGUGCAAGCGUUAAUCGGAAUUACUGGGCGUAAAGUGCGCGUAGGCGGCUAGAUCAGUCGGGUGUGAAAGCCCCGGGCUUAACCUGGGAACUGCAUCCGAUACUGUCUAGCUUGAGUACAGGAGAGGAGAGUGGAAUUCCACAUGUAGCGGUGAAAUGCGUAGAUACGUGGAGGAACACCAAUGGCGAAGGCAGCUCUCUGGCCUGAUACUGACGCUGAGGUGCGAGAGCGUGGGGAGCAAACAGGAUUAGAUACCCCGGUAGUC
RNAcentral lists this ribosomal RNA (465 nucleotides) under uncultured bacterium. Its description in RNAcentral is "partial 16S ribosomal RNA". It matches the Rfam family "Bacterial small subunit ribosomal RNA", at positions 339 to 795 of the family's 1533-position model. The record is from RNAcentral.